RNAcentral lists this ribosomal RNA (406 nucleotides) under uncultured bacterium. RNAcentral describes it as "partial 16S ribosomal RNA". It matches the Rfam family "Bacterial small subunit ribosomal RNA", at positions 30 to 526 of the family's 1533-position model. The record is from RNAcentral.
AUUGAACGCUGGCGGCAGGCCUAACACAUGCAAGUCGAACGAGUGGCGGACGGGUGAGUAAUGUCUGGGAAACUGCCCGAAGGAGGGGGAUAACUCCUGGAAACGGUAGCUAAUACCGCAUACCAUCGGAUGUGCCCAGAUGGGAUUAGCUAGUAGGUGGGGUAAUGGCUCACCUAGGCGACGAUCCCUAGCUGGUCUGAGAGGGUGACCAGCCACACUGGAACUGAGACACGGUCCAGACUCCUACGGGAGGCAGCAGUGGGGAAUAUUGCACAAUGGGCGCAAGCCUGAUGCAGCCAUGCCGCGUGUAUGAAGAAGGCCUUCGGGUUGUAAAGUACUUUCAGCGAGGAGGCGGUACUCGAAGAAGAAGCACCGGCUAACUCCGUGCCAGCAGCCGCGGUAAUAC